This 102-nucleotide non-coding RNA is filed under the name Limnohabitans planktonicus. RNAcentral describes it as "Glycine sequence". It matches the Rfam family "Glycine riboswitch aptamer". Rfam says of the family: This family represents the bacterial glycine riboswitch. Glycine riboswitches usually consist of two metabolite-binding aptamers domains with similar structures in tandem. The aptamers cooperatively bind glycine to regulate the expression of downstream genes. Lineage: Bacteria; Pseudomonadati; Pseudomonadota; Betaproteobacteria; Burkholderiales; Comamonadaceae. The record is from RNAcentral.
GUCAAAAACUCUGAAGAGCGCCCCCGAUUCGUCACCGGGGUCCACCGCAGGAGCAAGCCUCAUCCGAGGUGAAUCUCUCAGGUUUCAAACAGAGGGGGUCAU